This 1346-nucleotide ribosomal RNA is filed under the name uncultured bacterium. RNAcentral's name for it is "bacterial SSU rRNA". It matches the Rfam family "Bacterial small subunit ribosomal RNA", at positions 28 to 1381 of the family's 1533-position model. The record is from RNAcentral.
GACGAACGCUUGCGGCGUGCUUAACACAUGCAAGUCGAACGGAAAGGCCCUGCUUUUGUGGGGUGCUCGAGUGGCGAACGGGUGAGUAACACGUGAGUAACCUGCCCUUGACUUUGGGAUAACUUCAGGAAACUGGGGCUAAUACCGGAUAGGAGCUCCUGCUGCAUGGUGGGGGUUGGAAAGUUUCGGCGGUUGGGGAUGGACUCGCGGCUUAUCAGCUUGUUGGUGGGGUAGUGGCUCACCAAGGCUUUGACGGGUAGCCGGCCUGAGAGGGUGACCGGCCACAUUGGGACUGAGAUACGGCCCAGACUCCUACGGGAGGCAGCAGUGGGGAAUAUUGCACAAUGGGCGGAAGCCUGAUGCAGCAACGCCGCGUGCGGGAUGACGGCCUUCGGGUUGUAAACCGCUUUCGCCUGUGACGAAGCGUGAGUGACGGUAAUGGGUAAAGAAGCACCGGCUAACUACGUGCCAGCAGCCGCGGUGAUACGUAGGGUGCGAGCGUUGUCCGGAUUUAUUGGGCGUAAAGGGCUCGUAGGUGGUUGAUCGCGUCGGAAGUGUAAUCUUGGGGCUUAACCCUGAGCGUGCUUUCGAUACGGGUUGACUUGAGGAAGGUAGGGGAGAAUGGAAUUCCUGGUGGAGCGGUGGAAUGCGCAGAUAUCAGGAGGAACACCAGUGGCGAAGGCGGUUCUCUGGGCCUUUCCUGACGCUGAGGAGCGAAAGCGUGGGGAGCGAACAGGCUUAGAUACCCUGGUAGUCCACGCUGUAAACGGUGGGUACUAGGUGUGGGGUCCAUUCCACGGGUUCCGUGCCGUAGCUAACGCUUUAAGUACCCCGCCUGGGGAGUACGGCCGCAAGGCUAAAACUCAAAGGAAUUGACGGGGCCCCGCACAAGCGGCGGAGCAUGCGGAUUAAUUCGAUGCAACGCGUAGAACCUUACCUGGGUUUGACAUGGAUCGGGAGUACUCAGAGAUGGGUGUGCCUCUUUUGGGGUCGGUUCACAGGUGGUGCAUGGCUGUCGUCAGCUCGUGUCGUGAGAUGUUGGGUUAAGUCCCGCAACGAGCGCAACCCUUGUUCACUGUUGCCAGCACGUUAUGGUGGGGACUCAGUGGAGACCGCCGGGGUCAACUCGGAGGAAGGUGGGGAUGACGUCAAGUCAUCAUGCCCCUUAUGUCCAGGGCUUCACGCAUGCUACAAUGGCUGGUACAGAGAGUGGCGAGCCUGUGAGGGUGAGCGAAUCUCGGAAAGCCGGUCUCAGUUCGGAUUGGGGUCUGCAACUCGACCUCAUGAAGUCGGAGUCGCUAGUAAUCGCAGAUCAGCAACGCUGCGGUGAAUACGUUCCCGGGGCU